This 410-nucleotide long non-coding RNA is filed under the name Daucus carota (carrot). Its description in RNAcentral is "long non-coding RNA (DCAR_LNC004979)". Lineage: Eukaryota; Viridiplantae; Streptophyta; Magnoliopsida; Apiales; Apiaceae. The record is from RNAcentral.
GAGCCUAAAUCUUUGCCCGAACUCGACUCGGUUAAUUUCACGAGCCGGCUCGUUUAGCUAAACGAGCCGGUUUUAACGAGCCGAGCGAGCCAGCUCGUAUAAUUUUACACUUAAUCGAGCCCAAACCUCUACCCGAACUCGGCUCGUUUAAUUUCACGAGUCGAGUCGAGCCGGCUCGUUUAAUUAAACGAGCUGAAACCUUUGCCCGAACUCGGCUUGUUUAACGAGUCGAGUCGAGCCCACUUAAACGAGUUCGAGCCGGGCGAGCUCGCGAGCCGCCCGACUUAAACCUCUACCCGAACUCGGCUCGUUUAAUUUCACGAGUCGAGUCGAGCCGGCUCGUUUAAUUAAACGAGCCGAAACCUUUACCCGAACUCGGCUCGUUUAACGAGUCGAGCCGAGCCGAGCCC